Small nuclear RNA from Schistocerca serialis cubense, 188 nucleotides. RefSeq annotates it as U2 spliceosomal RNA. The record is from RefSeq and is a predicted model, not a curated record. NCBI's taxonomy places the organism in Eukaryota, Metazoa, Arthropoda, Insecta, Orthoptera, Acrididae. The transcript has a single exon.
AUUUCCUCUACGUAAUCUCCAAUCAGGUAAAAAACCUGUUCUUAUCAGCUUAAAAUCUGCUAUGCCCUGCAUCACAGAACUAGAAUAUUAAACUUAUAUUUGGCCUUUGACAGAGUGGUGGGAGCAUGCUCUGACUCCGUUACAGGAUGUUUCAUCAUUUCGAACUCUCUUAAGGUAGCCAGAUGCUU